Molecule: RNA transcript, 6582 nt
Organism: Ziziphus jujuba (common jujube)
Lineage: Eukaryota; Viridiplantae; Streptophyta; Magnoliopsida; Rosales; Rhamnaceae
Gene name: pentatricopeptide repeat-containing protein At3g18110, chloroplastic
Exons: 6
Source: RefSeq, a predicted model, not a curated record
GAAGUGGGACCCACCCAUUUUUAACAAUGCGCCAAUCCGAAACACAGAGAAAUAUCUGGUGUUGAAUAUCAUCUCCUUCCCCAUAUAGUCGUAGCCAUGGCCAUGGCCAUAGCCGUUACCCUGAAGAAACAGCAGGCAGUAAGUACAUUAGAUAUAAUUCCACUUUAGUUGCUGGUGCAAAAUCAAAUCAAACAAGAAAGAAACAGAGUAUCAGUUUUUAUAAUCAAUUAUGACCUUCACAGGAGUUGUGGCCUUGGCUUCCCCACCCUUAAUCAUCCAUUCGGACUCUUCUGCAUUAUCAUCUACUAGGUUAUCCAAACCCACAUCUUUUUCCUGCAAUUCUUCAAUUCAAACAGUUUCCACUGCUACUUCUGAGCAACCCAAUGAUUGUAACGGCGAUACUACUACUACCAGUCAGAGAUUUAGCUACAGGAGAGCCUCACCAUCAGUGAGAUGGCCACACUUGAAACUCGCUGAAUAUUAUCCUCAAUCUCCUGAGACCCAGUUGACUCAUGUUGUUGAUGAGGUUGGAUUUUCAGCACAACCCUCUGAUUCUCAGAGUUCGGAUGAACCAAAAACAACCCAGAAUACGAACUUUGCAGAAGAAGAAGAAGAGAAGGAAUUAUCUUUGCAUGUGAGUGAUGAGACCCGACAAGUGUUGGGGAGGCCUAGCAAGACUAAGGCGAAGAAAAUGACGAAACUGGCUCUUAAGAGAGCGAAAGAUUGGCGGGAUAGGGUCAAGUAUUUGACUGAUAGGAUUUUGGGGUUGAAAUCUGGGGAGUUUGUGGCGGACGUUUUGGAUGAUAGGAAAGUUCAGAUGACGCCUACUGAUUUUUGCUUCGUGGUGAAAUGGGUUGGCCAGUCAAGCUGGCAACGAGCUUUGGAGGUUUAUGAAUGGCUGAAUUUGCGUCAUUGGUACUCGCCAAAUGCUAGAAUGCUUGCCACUAUCUUGUCGGUGCUCGGGAAAGCUAACCAAGACGCCUUAGCCGUGGAAAUAUUCACAAGGGCUGAGCCUGGAAUAGGUAAUACUGUCCAAGUUUACAAUGCUAUAAUGGGUGUUCAUGCUAGAAAUGGUCGGUUUGAUAAAGUCCAAGACUUGCUUGAUUUAAUGCGUGAAAGAGGGUGUGAGCCUGACCUAGUGAGCUUCAAUACUUUGAUAAAUGCCCGUUUGAAGUCGAGUGCAAUGGUUUCAAAUUUGGCUGUUGAACUUUUAAAUGAGGUGAGGAGGUCAGGUCUUAGACCUGAUAUUAUUACUUACAAUACUCUAAUCAGUGGGUGUUCGCGUGAAUCCAAUUUGGACGAAGCAGUGAAGGUUUACAGUGAUAUGGAAGCACAUGGUUGUCAACCUGAUCUUUGGACUUAUAAUGCCAUGAUUUCGGUAUACGGGAGAUGCGGGCUGUCCGGCAAAGCCGAUGGACUCUUUAAGGAAUUGGAAUCAAAGGGUUUUCUUCCUGAUGCAGUAACAUAUAAUUCUUUGUUAUAUGCUUUUGCUAGAGAAGGAAAUGUAGAAAGAGUGAGGGAGAUUUGUGAUGAUAUGGUGAAAACGGGGUUCGGUAAAGAUGAGAUGACGUACAAUACCAUUAUCCACAUGUAUGGGAAAAAGGGCCAGCAUGAUUUAGCAUUUCAACUUUAUAGGGACAUGAAAUCAUCAGGUCGGGUCCCAGAUGCUAUCACAUACACUGUGUUGAUUGAUUCACUUGGAAAAGCAAACAAAACUACAGAGGCUGCAAAUUUGAUGUCGGAGAUGCUGGACAGGGGUGUUAAACCGACUUUGCGAACUUAUAGUGCUUUGAUUUGUGGAUAUGCCAAGGCCGGGAAGCAAGUUGAGGCUGAGGAAACGUUUGAUUGCAUGGUUAGGUCAGGGAUUAGACCAGACCGUCUAGCAUAUUUUGUUAUGUUGGAUAUGUUUCUGAGGCUGAAUGAGAUGAAAAAGGCAAUGGCAUUGUAUCAGCAAAUGGUGAAUGAUAGUUUCAUGCCAGAUAAUACCCUUUUUGAGGUCAUGCUGCGAGUGCUUGGGAGGGAAAACAACUUGGAAGGUAUUGAAAAAGUGGUGAGGGAUAUGGACAUACAUUGUGGCAUGAACCCACAAGUUAUUUCUACAGUUCUUGUCAAGGGUGAAUGCUAUGACCAGGCUGCUAAAAUGUUGAGAUUGGCCAUAAGCAAUGGCUAUGAAUUGGAAAGGGACAAUCUUUUAUCUAUUCUUGGCUCAUAUAGUUCAUCUGGAAGGUACACAGAAGCACGUGAGUUGCUUGAAUUCUUGAGAGAACACACCUCUGGUUCCAAUCAACUUAUAAAUGAAGCACUGGUUGUCAUAAUGUGUAAGGCUCGCCAAUUUGAUGCUGCCUUGGAGGAAUAUGGUAAAACUAAGGAAUUCCUUUCUUUUGGCAGAAGUUCUACCACAUACGAGUCCCUGAUUCAAGGAUGUGAGGAGAAUGAAUGCUUGGAUGAAGCUUCUCAGAUUUUUUCUGACAUGAGAUUCUUUGGUGUUGAACCUUCUAAACAUCUUUACGUGACUAUGGCACUCAUAUAUUGUAAAAUGGGUUUCCCUGAGACAGCACACCAUUUACUUGACCUGGCAGAUAUGAAAGGCAUUCAGUUUGACAAUAUUUCUGUUUAUGUUGAUGUUGUUGAAGCAUAUGGGAAACUAAAGCUAUGGCAGAAAGCUGAAAGUUUGGUGGGAAGUCUUAGACAAAGAUACAUUAAAGUGGAUAGGAAAGUGUGGAAUGCUUUGAUGCAAGCUUAUGCUGCUAGCGGUUGCUAUGAGCGAGCCAGAGCUAUUUUUAAUACAAUGAUGAGAGAUGGUCCUUCGCCUACUGUAGAAUCUGUUAACAGUUUAUUGCAAGCUUUAAUAACUGAUGGAAGAUUGGAUGAACUUUAUGUAGUAAUCCAGGAGCUACAAGAUAUGGGUUUCAAAAUAAGCAAAAGUUCAAUCAUUUUGAUGCUUGAUGCAUUUGCUCGUGCUGGUAAUGUAUUUGAGGUGAAGAAAAUUUAUCAUGGAAUGAAGGCUACAGGUUAUUUUCCUACCAUGAAUCUUUACAGGAUUAUGAUCAGGUUGUUGUGCAGGGUAAAACGAGUUCAGGAUGUGGAAGCCAUGGUUGGUGAAAUGAAAGAGGCAGGAUUUAAGCCUGACCUUGCAAUAUGGAAUUCCAUGAUAAAGAUGUAUGCAUCUAUUGAGGAUUUCAGAAAGACAGUUCAAGUAUAUCAGAAAAUUCAAGAAGCCGGACUCGAACCAGAUGAGGAUACUUACAGUACAUUGAUUACAAUGUACUGCAGAAAUCAUACUCCAGAAGAAGGUUUGUCUCUGAUGCAUGAAAUGAGAAGAAAGGGCCUAGAACCUAAAUUGGACACCUACAAAAGCUUGAUUUCAGCAUUUGGUAAGCAGCAGCUGUUGGAUCAAGCGGAAGACCUGUUUGAAGAGUUGAGGUCUAAUGGAAGUAAAUUGGAUCGCUCAAUUUAUCAUACAAUGAUGAAAAUGUUCAGAAAUUCUGGAAACCAUUCCAAAGCUGAAAUGUUAUUGGGCGUGAUGAAAGAAGCAGGUAUAGAACCCAACUUUGCCACAAUGCAUUUGCUCAUGGUUUCAUAUGGCAGCUCUGGACAGCCUCAGGAAGCUGAAGAAGUGCUAAACAAUCUGAAAGUCACUGGUUUGCAGCUCAAUACAUUACCAUAUAGCUCUGUUAUUGAUGCUUAUCUCAAAAAUGGAGAUUAUAACAUUGGGAUCCAAAAGCUUAAAGAGAUGAAGCAAGGGGGCUUGGAGCCAGACCAUCGAAUAUGGACAUGUUUUGUACGAGCUGCAAGUUUGUCCCAGCACACAAGUGAAGCAAUUAUCCUCUUGAAUGCACUUCGUGAUGCUGGAUUUGAUCUUCCAAUAAGGCUUUUGACAGAAAAAUCCAAUGCGCUAAUUUCAGAGGUAGGCCUUUGUCUAGAGAAACUAGAACCUUUAGAAGAUAAUGCAGCGUUUAACUUUGUCAAUGCUUUGGAUGAUCUGUUGUGGGCAUUUGAACUAAGGGCCACUGCUUCAUGGGUUUUCCAACUGGCCAUCAAGAGAGGCAUCUACCGCCAUGAUGUAUUCAGGGUAGCUGAAAGGGACUGGGGUGCUGAUUUUAGGAAGUUGUCAGCUGGUUCAGCUCUUGUUGCUCUUACACUUUGGCUUGAUCACAUGCAGGAUGCAUCUUUGCAGGGUUAUCCGGAGUCUUCAAAAUCAGUUGUGCUAAUAACAGGGACAGCAGAGUACAACAAUGUUUCCCUUAAUAGCACAUUAAAGGCCUUUCUUUGGGAAAUGGGAUCUCCUUUUUUGCCCUGCAGUACCAGAAGUGGGCUCCUUAUAGCUAAGGCUCAUUCCCUAAGGAUGUGGUUAAAGGAUUCUCCAUUUUGCUUGGACCUUGAAUUAAAAGAUUCCCCAUCUCUACCUGAAUCUAACUCAAUGCAGCUCAUUGAUGGAUGUUUUAUAAGAACAGGUCUUGUUCCUGCAUUUAAGGACAUAACAGAGAAGCUUGGACUGGUGAGGCCCAAGAAAUUUGCAAGGUUGGCUUUGCUAUCAGAUGAAAAGAGAGAUAAAGUUAUUCAAGCUGAUAUUGAAGGGAGGAAAGAGAAAAUGGAAAAAAUGAAGAAAAAUGAUGGGUUUGGGAGGAUGAAGAAGAUGAAAAAGUUUAUGAAAAGAAAGUAUUUAAGGAGAUCCAUGUUGAGAUGAAAAGUCUAGAAAUUCAAAAGUUGCCAACUACUUUGGUAAAAGAAAACUGCUUUUCCAUUUCACUACCUCUACCACAAAUCUGAAAGAAGUUUUAAUCGCAGUGACAACCUGUUCUUCUAGGUGCUGCUUUUUCGAAGAACAUUGUUUAAAUAUAUACUUGGAGGUAAAGCUUCUGACUUGGAUGUUUUCUGCCAUUGAAACAGAAGAAUAUUGGUUAUUGGCUUUGUAUAUCAUCUUUUAUAUUGAUGCACAUAUUGAUGGUGUCAAUCAUAUAGCAUUUGCUCAUCCCAACAAGCAAAGGUGCAUUGUUACAUGUGGAGAUGAUAAGCUGAUUGUAUUGGCUUUAAUAUUUGGAAAAAUAGUCUUGAGAAGAUUUAGGUUCCUUACUCUAAAUUCAUGUACCAGAGGUCUGGGAUGCUGUAGCUGGGCAGAGACUAUGUAUAUUUGAAGGGCAUGAAGUGCCUGUAUAUUCUGUUUGUCCUAUAAAGAAAAUAUCCAGGUAUAUUUCCUGUUGAAGCUGGUAAACAAUUUCUUUUUUCAGUUGAAGAACGACAUCAGCUUCUUGCUAAACGAGAACUUUGAUUUGUUGACUUGUCUUUGGAGUGUAUUUCAUCUGUAUUAGAAAAGACAGCUUAUAACUUCAAAAUUCCAAUACGCUUCUUUACAUGCAAUUUAUUUUUUCAACUGCAAUUGAUGGGAAGAUUAAAGCUUGGCUGGAUGAUUGUAUGUGAUCAAGAGCGGACUAUGACGCUUCUGGGCCUAGGUGCACCAUAAUGGCAUAUACUGCAGAUGGAACUGGGCAAUAGUUUAUCGUGUGGAAGAAGAUAAAGGACUACAUUUUUGGUGACAUUUUUGUACUUUAUAUUUUCUCUGUGUAUCAAAUUCUCAUGAUUAUGCAUUAGAAUAUCUAAAUAAUCUAUUCUUGUGUUUGAGUUUCUUUUCUUGUUUAUGAUGAUAUAUAGCUUUUCUCUCAGCUCCUUUCAUUCCUUUUUGAUUACUCCCAUCUUGUGUCAUCUGUUUAUUUAAUUUUUAAGUUUUAGCCACUCUGAACUGUUUAUUUUGUUCUCACGUACACAGAUAUACAUGACAAAUGCAUAUGCUACUAUGCCUAUAACUAUCAAAAUUAGAAAAUUCAUAAAAUAUAUUUCUUCUGGCCAGGCUAUUCUCAUGUGGAGCAAGCAAGGAGGGUUAUUCCCGUCUAGUUGAAGAAGCAAUUAAACGUAAAUAUUGUGGUUUUAGAAAGCGCUCUUUAGGUGUUGUCCAGUUUUGCACGACAAGAAACCGGUUCUUAGCUGCUGGUGAUGAAUUUUAAAUUAAGUUCUGGGAUAUGGACUUUAUCAAUUUGUAGCCAAUGUCAACAGCUGGUAGGCUAGAAAUGUUAAUUUUUCCAAGAAAGUUCUAUAUCUUGAGUGCAGAUAUGUUUAUGGCAAUAUAUCUAUGAUUGUGAUUUGCUUUUUAAAUGCUGAGUAGCGGAAGUGACUGAGGCGAUGAAUUUAGAAAGUUAUCAGCUGGUGAACGCUCUUAUUGUUUCUUAUACUUCGGCUUCAUGCAGCUCAUUGAUGGAUGCUUUAUGAGAACUGGUCUUGUUCCCGCAUUUGAGGACAGAAAAGAGAUGCUUAAGACUAGUGAGGCUCGAGAAAUUUGCAACGUUGCCUUUGCUUUCAGAUGGAAAAAAAAAGAGAUGCAGUUAUUGGCUGAUGUUGAAAGAAGCAAAGAGAAAUUGGAGGACCAUUUCACUACCGUUGCUACCCUGUACAAUAGAAAUUAUUUUCUUUUUAUUUUAUUUAUUGUAUUCCUGUUGUCAACAUUUGAUUUAUUGUAUUCAACCAUCAUGAACAUAUGAAAAAACUAAUAAUAAUAAUAAUAAUAAUAUUUAUGACUUAAAAUUUUCAAAA